RNAcentral lists this ribosomal RNA (86 nucleotides) under uncultured bacterium. RNAcentral describes it as "partial 16S ribosomal RNA". The record is from RNAcentral.
CGACAUUUGCGAUAAACUGCAAGUGUCUGAGCGUCGUGUUAACCGCAAGGAGACAGAUGCCGAAGGUAUGGAUGGUGAUUGGGAUG